This 1372-nucleotide ribosomal RNA is filed under the name uncultured bacterium. RNAcentral describes it as "bacterial SSU rRNA". It matches the Rfam family "Bacterial small subunit ribosomal RNA", at positions 28 to 1381 of the family's 1533-position model. The record is from RNAcentral.
GAUGAACGCUGGCGGCGUGCCUAAUACAUGCAAGUCGAGCGAACGGACGAGAAGCUUGCUUCUCUGAUGUUAGCGGCGGACGGGUGAGUAGCACGUGGAUAACCUACCUAUAAGACUGGGAUAACUUCGGGAAACCGGAGCUAAUACCGGAUGAUAUUUUGAACCGCAUGGUUCAAAAGUGAAAGACGGUCUUGCUGUCACUUAUAGAUGGAUCCGCGCUGCAUUAGCUAGUUGGUAAGGUAACGGCUUACCAAGGCAACGAUGCAUAGCCGACCUGAGAGGGUGAUCGGCCACACUGGAACUGAGACACGGUCCAGACUCCUACGGGAGGCAGCAGUAGGGAAUCUUCCGCAAUGGGCGAAAGCCUGACGGAGCAACGCCGCGUGAGUGAUGAAGGUCUUCGGAUCGUAAAACUCUGUUAUUAGGGAAGAACAUAUGUGUAAGUAACUGUGCACAUCUUGACGGUACCUAAUCAGAAAGCCACGGCUAACUACGUGCCAGCAGCCGCGGUAAUACGUAGGCGGCAAGCGUUAUCCGGAAUUAUUGGGCGUAAAGCGCGCGUAGGCGGUUUUUUAAGUCUGAUGUGAAAGCCCACGGCUCAACCGUGGAGGGUCAUUGGAAACUGGAAAACUUGAGUGCAGAAGAGGAAAGUGGAAUUCCAUGUGUAGCGGUGAAAUGCGCAGAGAUAUGGAGGAACACCAGUGGCGAAGGCGACUUUCUGGUCUGUAACUGACGCUGAUGUGCGAAAGCGUGGGGAUCAAACAGGAUUAGAUACCCUGGUAGUCCACGCCGUAAACGAUGAGUGCUAAGUGUUAGGGGGUUUCCGCCCCUUAGUGCUGCAGCUAACGCAUUAAGCACUCCGCCUGGGGAGUACGACCGCAAGGUUGAAACUCAAAGGAAUUGACGGGGACCCGCACAAGCGGUGGAGCAUGUGGUUUAAUUCGAAGCAACGCGAAGAACCUUACCAAAUCUUGACAUCCUUUGACAACUCUAGAGAUAGAGCCUUCCCCUUCGGGGGACAAAGUGACAGGUGGUGCAUGGUUGUCGUCAGCUCGUGUCGUGAGAUGUUGGGUUAAGUCCCGCAACGAGCGCAACCCUUAAGCUUAGUUGCCAUCAUUAAGUUGGGCACUCUAAGUUGACUGCCGGUGACAAACCGGAGGAAGGUGGGGAUGACGUCAAAUCAUCAUGCCCCUUAUGAUUUGGGCUACACACGUGCUACAAUGGACAAUACAAAGGGCAGCGAAACCGCGAGGUCAAGCAAAUCCCAUAAAGUUGUUCUCAGUUCGGAUUGUAGUCUGCAACUCGACUACAUGAAGCUGGAAUCGCUAGUAAUCGUAGAUCAGCAUGCUACGGUGAAUACGUUCCCGGGUCU